GCAGAAUGGGGACUGCCUUGUACAGGAAUUCAUGUUUGGUGAGAUGUCCUCCCAUGCUGGGAGACUGGAAGAGGGAGUGAGAGGCAAGAGUCUUAGGUGCCCAGGUGAUGUGACCAGCUAUGCAUCCCAAUGGCCAGUCAUUUCUCAGACAGAAGCAACCAGGACUACAACAGGAACUAUAAACUGGACAACUGAAGAACACUGCUUCACGGGACAUUUUCUGCUACAUUUGUGUUCCUAAGAAGUCUCCCACCAAAUCUCCAAAUAAGCAUCUGUUUCUU
RNAcentral lists this long non-coding RNA (281 nucleotides) under Chinchilla lanigera (long-tailed chinchilla). Its description in RNAcentral is "lncRNA (ENSCLAG00000024258.1)". Lineage: Eukaryota; Metazoa; Chordata; Mammalia; Rodentia; Chinchillidae. The record is from RNAcentral.